Cyprinus carpio (common carp) is the source of this 1378-nucleotide long non-coding RNA. Lineage: Eukaryota; Metazoa; Chordata; Actinopteri; Cypriniformes; Cyprinidae. The record is from Ensembl.
AACAGAUACGAAUACUUAGGCACAAUCAUUUUUCAAAGCUGUAUUUGCUUUACACAAAAGCUGAAUGUACAUGAACAUAAUAGCUGUAUAUGGUCUGUUUCAUCUGCAUCAAAACUUUAAUUAUUUUUCUUUUUUUUUUCUUAGCUGAGAAGAUCGAUCAAGAAACCCUCCUUCUUUUAGAUGAUGCCACACUGACUUCUCUUAUCCCUAUUAUUGGACUUCGUUUAAAAUUCAAGAAAUACCUCAAGAAUGUGCUUGAUGAAUCAAUCAAAGAGCCUGCAACUACAGCUACUGAACCAAGGGAGCAGCAGCAGGAUCCUGAGCACAGGAAAUCGGUAGAGCAAGUAGCAGCAUUUAAUGUAAGAGACAUCCUUGCAACAACAUCCUGUGGCAGCAGUAUUGUGGAUACCAUUGAAAAAAAUAACUGCAUUUCGAUUAAAGAAAGACAAGCCAUGGUUCGUAUCUUGGUCUCACAUCUAAUUGAGCGCUUUGGAGAAAAUCCAAGUGCAGCAACAAAAGUCAUGCUGGCUUCAUCAGUAGUCGAACAAUUUCCAUGCCUUAAGGAUUGCCAGGGUAAAGGAUAUGAAGCAUGGUUCAGUCCAGGUAGAUUUCACAGACCUGCCACAGGCUUCCUGGAGGAGCGUCUUCGGAACGUGCGCAAAAAGAUCCGAAGAGGAAGACACAAAACUAUUUCUUCGGAAACCCCAACAAACAGCAGCAAUUUUACUUUGCCAGAGUCAAAUGUGGACUCGGAAAGAGCGACUCAAAUGACCGAGUGGCUCAAAAAUAAUAUCUGGCCAGCAAGUCAGGUUGAGCAUUACAUGAAAGAGACAGCGAUCCAAAGGGCCAAAUGGAUUCGUGACCAUGGAUCAAAGACAAUAAUGGAAAUAGUCAAAGAGUAUCCACGUCUCCUUGACACUCCAGACAUGAUAACACAGGAUUUCUUAAUUUUGAAUCCAGACUGUGCUUCCAAACUCACAGAAAAUUGGGUACCUGUGUUUAAGGAUAAGAUUUUACAGUUUGCCAGAAAAGAGAAACAAGCUGUUGAACUACUUCACAACAUUGAAAUGAUGUCAGCAGAGAGACAGAGUGACAUUGCCGUGCAAGUCCUACCUGUAGUCCUUCCAACACAUGUGUACAAAAUUGGAAGAAAAAUGUUCAGACCAACUUUCCUAGAAACCAGGAAGGCCUUCAUAGACAUACAGCCUGUAAGUUAACAGCCACUUCUAAAACUACAUUAAGUAUUUACAAUAUAAAGUUUAUUUAAAUAUAUAAUUUUUUUUAUUAUUAUUGAAUGCACAUUUAAAACGAUAUGCUUCAUGCUGCAUUAUUGCGUUAGGGGAAUAAAGACUUGACUUAUCUGUCUCUGCUGACUGCU